RNAcentral lists this ribosomal RNA (275 nucleotides) under uncultured prokaryote. RNAcentral describes it as "partial 16S ribosomal RNA". It matches the Rfam family "Bacterial small subunit ribosomal RNA", at positions 524 to 798 of the family's 1533-position model. The record is from RNAcentral.
UACGUAGGGGGCUAGCGUUAUCCGGAUUUACUGGGCGUAAAGCGCGUGUAGGUGGUUCUGUAAGUAGGGCGUGAAAGCUCCCGGCUCAACUGGGAGAGGCCGUUCUAUACUGCAGAGCUAGAGGAUGGUAGAGGGAGGUGGAAUUCCAGGUGUAGCGGUGGAAUGCGCAGAUAUCUGGAGGAACACCAGUGGCGAAGGCGGCCUCCUGGACCAUUCCUGACACUCAGACGCGAAAGCUAGGGUAGCAAACGGGAUUAGAUACCCGCGUAGUCCCU